GAUUUGCAUGAUUUUUAGUUCUUAUAUUUACAAUAAUGAUGCCAAUUGUGGUAGCAUUGAUGAUGCCUUGAGGCUGUUUGGUAAAAUGCCUGAGAGAAGGUAUUUAUAGGUUUUCCACAGCUUCUGAAGUACUCAAGCUCAUGGGCUAAUGUUUGUUUCUUUUGACUUUAAAUAUUGGACAGGUAAAUGACAGUAAGUUCAGGCAAGAGUAUAAAAAAGUGUCAUUUCUUCCCCAUUUGUGGUAAGCUCCAAUAAGAACAUGCAGGGCUGAUGUAUUUUCAGCCCCACAGAUCAAUGUUUCCAUUGCAAGGUUCAAUAUUGAAAUGUGAUUAUCAGAAGCAGUGGGCCAUCAUUGAAAGAUUACCCUUGUAGUGAGUCUAGAUGGGAGAGGACAAGGAUCUUUCAGUUAUGACGAACGUGGAUUUGCAAAAGCUGUUCCCAGGCAAGAAGGUAAGAGAAUAAUACACCCAGGUGAACUUGAAUCAUAUGC
Molecule: long non-coding RNA, 490 nt
Organism: Magnolia sinica
Lineage: Eukaryota; Viridiplantae; Streptophyta; Magnoliopsida; Magnoliales; Magnoliaceae
Exons: 4
Source: RefSeq, a predicted model, not a curated record